UACGUAGGGUGCAAGCGUUAAUCGGAAUUACUGGGCGUAAAGCGUGCGCAGGCGGUUUUGUAAGUCUGACGUGAAAUCCCCCGGGCUCAACCUGGGAAUUGCGUUGGAGACUGCAAGGCUAGAACCUGGCAGAGGGGGGUAGAAUUCCACGUGUGAGCAGUGAAAUGCGUAGAGAUGUGGAGGAACACCGAUGGCGAAGGCAGCCCCCUGGGUCAAGAUUGACGCUCAUGCACGAAAGCGUGGGGAGCAAACAGG
This 255-nucleotide ribosomal RNA is filed under the name uncultured bacterium. RNAcentral's name for it is "partial 16S ribosomal RNA". It matches the Rfam family "Bacterial small subunit ribosomal RNA", at positions 524 to 776 of the family's 1533-position model. The record is from RNAcentral.